GAAGAACUGCUUCUGGGAAAUGGGAUAACCAAAAGUGUCGUGGAGGGUCUUGUGAUAAGAAAACGUACUACUGCAAACCGUGUAGAUUACAAAAAUGUCGAGACAUGGGAAUGGACACUACCAAAUUCCAAUUCAACCGAGACAACAUUCCCACCGCUGGUCAAUUCCAACUCCCUCCGCAAACUUUCGAAGCUUAUGUCGGACGGCCCGAAUUCCUGCUCUUCUGUGAUACCGAUGCUCCAAACUCCAAAGUCCUGAUAGACGUCAGAUACCUCCUUGAAGAAGCCGGCCGGCUAUUGAAUAAUGGGAUUAUCACACCAAUUUGGGCUGAAAAUCAACUGAAGAAGUUGACGCAAGGCUUUAAGCACAUUAAGCUGGAUACAGAUAACAUAAAGAAGGUUGAAACUGCGGAUCAGAAAGAGUUUAUGGAGAUGUGGGAGUACUAUUUUAUUACGGUGACAAAGUGGUUGAUGUACUUCGACGAGUUCCAGAAGUUGAACAGACAAAUUCAGAUGACAAUGCUCCAAGCAAUAUGGCAUGUGUUCAGCAAAUUGCACAAAUACGUGGCAACGUCCGCCUAUCAAAAAGCGACGCCACGUGCUAAACCAACAGAAGUCAUUAUAAAAGACGUUAUGAUGGACAUAGAAACUGUGAAUUUCGACUGUUCUUGGAUGAGCGAUUACCCAACAAAGGAUGUUUUUAAAUUUCUAUCCGCCCAGGCUUGCAAGGAAAUGGAUAUUGUUGGUACUCUCCACGAGCUGGAUCCUACUGACCUGGAAAUCACUUAUUUGUUUGCUCAACUUUGCUUCGAAUAUGUUGGCAAACGAUAUCAGGGUGAUAUUCUCAGAGUAGCCGAGCAGUUUCAAGAAAUUUUGGCGAAUGAUCUACAUCAUUAUUAUGUGGAAGAAAUGAACAGACCCAGAUACUUCCAAAGAUUGGCGAGACUCUUGAAAGUUAACAAUGCAAUUCAGAGAGCAAUCUGGGAGAGCCGCCCGAAAAUGGAGCUUGGUCGAGUGUUUAAUGUGCUGAAAAUUGAGUUCUCGCAUCCGGAAAUGUUCGAGGACUCUGGAUAUUAUUGAAGACAAUAACUUCUGUUCAAGAUUUUUUUCGUAAAUAUAAUUGUGUAUAUAAUUGUAAAAACAAUAAUGAAUCUUGAUGUAGUAAUUUUAAAA
This 1172-nucleotide unclassified non-coding RNA is filed under the name Caenorhabditis elegans. Its description in RNAcentral is "Non-coding transcript of protein-coding gene nhr-228". The record is from RNAcentral. Lineage: Eukaryota; Metazoa; Nematoda; Chromadorea; Rhabditida; Rhabditidae.